UGCAGUCGUACGAUGGAUGCCCUUAAGGGGUGGAUUAGUGGCGAACGGGUGAGUAACACGUGGGCAAUCUGCCCUUCACUCUGGGACAAGCCCUGGAAACGGGGUCUAAUACCGGAUAACACUGCGGAUCUCAUGGUCUGCGGUUAAAAGCUCCGGCGGUGAAGGAUGAGCCCGCGGCCUAUCAGCUUGUUGGUGAGGUAAUGGCUCACCAAGGCGACGACGGGUAGCCGGCCUGAGAGGGCGACCGGCCACACUGGGACUGAGACACGGCCCAGACUCCUACGGGAGGCAGCAGUGGGGAAUAUUGCACAAUGGGCGAAAGCCUGAUGCAGCGACGCCGCGUGAGGGAUGACGGCCUUCGGGUUGUAAACCUCUUUCAGCAGGGAAGAAGCGAAAGUGACGGUACCUGCAGAAGAAGCGCCGGCUAACUACGUGCCAGCAGCCGCGGUAAUACGUAGGGCGCAAGCGUUGUCCGGAAUUAUUGGGCGUAAAGAGCUCGUAGGCGGCUUGUCACGUCGAUUGUGAAAGCCCGAGGCUUAACCUCGGGUCUGCAGUCGAUACGGGCUAGCUAGAGUGUGGUAGGGGAGAUCGGAAUUCCUGGUGUAGCGGUGAAAUGCGCAGAUAUCAGGAGGAACACCGGUGGCGAAGGCGGAUCUCUGGGCCAUUACUGACGCUGAGGAGCGAAAGCGUGGGGAGCGAACAGGAUUAGAUACCCUGGUAGUCCACGCCGUAAACGGUGGGAACUAGGUGUUGGCGACAUUCCACGUCGUCGGUGCCGCAGCUAACGCAUUAAGUUCCCCGCCUGGGGGAGUACGGCCGCAAGGCUAAAACUCAAAGGAAUUGACGGGGGCCCGCACAAGCAGCGGAGCAUGUGGCUUAAUUCGACGCAACGCGAAGAACCUUACCAAGGCUUGACAUACACCGGAAAGCAUUAGAGAUAGUGCCCCCCUUGUGGUCGGUGUACAGGUGGUGCAUGGCUGUCGUCAGCUCGUGUCGUGAGAUGUUGGGUUAAGUCCCGCAACGAGCGCAACCCUUGUUCUGUGUUGCCAGCAUGCCCUUCGGGGUGAUGGGGACUCACAGGAGACUGCCGGGGUCAACUCGGAGGAAGGUGGGGACGACGUCAAGUCAUCAUGCCCCUUAUGUCUUGGGCUGCACACGUGCUACAAUGGCAGGUACAAUGAGCUGCGAAACCGUGAGGUGGAGCGAAUCUCAAAAAGCCUGUCUCAGUUCGGAUUGGGGUCUGCAACUCGACCCCAUGAAGUCGGAGUUGCUAGUAAUCGCAGAUCAGCAUUGCUGCGGUGAAUACGUUCCCGGGCCUUGUACACACCGCCCGUCACGUCACGAAAGUCGGUAACACCCGAAGCCGGUG
This 1369-nucleotide ribosomal RNA is filed under the name Streptomyces sp. Its description in RNAcentral is "bacterial SSU rRNA". It matches the Rfam family "Bacterial small subunit ribosomal RNA", at positions 56 to 1432 of the family's 1533-position model. Lineage: Bacteria; Bacillati; Actinomycetota; Actinomycetes; Kitasatosporales; Streptomycetaceae. The record is from RNAcentral.